GGGUUGUGAGGUUAAGCGACUAAGCGUACACGGUGGAUGCCUAGGCAAUCAGAGGCGAUGAAGGACGUGCUAAUCUGCGAUAAGCGUCGGUAAGGUGAUAUGAACCGUUAUACCCGACGAUUUCCGAAUGGGGAAACCCAGUGCAAUUCGUUGCACUAUCGUUUGAUGAAUACAUAGUCAAACGAAGCGAACCGGGGGAACUGAAACAUCUCAGUACCCCGAGGAAAAGAAAUCAACCGAGAUUCCCCUAGUAGCGGCGAGCGAACGGGGAGCAGCCCAGAGUCUUAAUCAGCAUUAGUAUCAGGAGAACGGUCUGGAAAGUCCGGCAGUAAAGGGUGAUAGCCCCGUAUCUGAAGAUAUUAGUGUUGUGAACUCGACGAGUAGGGCGGGACACGUGUUAUCCUGUCUGAAUAUGGGGGGACCAUCCUCCAAGGCUAAAUACUCCUGAUUGACCGAUAGUGAACCAGUACCGUGAGGGAAAGGCGAAAAGAACCCCGGCGAGGGGAGUGAAAUAGAACCUGAAACCGUGUACGUACAAGCAGUGGGAGCCUUGAUUUAUCAGGGUGACUGCGUACCUUUUGUAUAAUGGGUCAGCGACUUAUAUUCUGUAGCAAGGUUAACCGUAUAGGGGAGCCGUAGGGAAACCGAGUCUUAACUGGGCGAAUGAGUUGCAGGGUAUAGACCCGAAACCCGGUGAUCUAGCCAUGGGCAGGUUGAAGGUUGGGUAACACUAACUGGAGGACCGAACCGACUAAUGUUGAAAAAUUAGCGGAUGACUUGUGGCUGGGGGUGAAAGGCCAAUCAAACCGGGAGAUAGCUGGUUCUCCCCGAAAGCUAUUUAGGUAGCGCCUCGUGAACUCAUCUUCGGGGGUAGAGCACUGUUUCGACUAGGGGGUCAUCCCGACUUACCAACUCGAUGCAAACUACGAAUACCGAAGAAUGUUAUCACGGGAGACACACGGCGGGUGCUAACGUUCGUCGUGAAGAGGGAAACAACCCAGACCGCCAGCUAAGGUCCCAAAGUCAUAGUUAAGUGGGAAACGAAGUGGGAAGGCUCAGACAGCCAGGAUGUUGGCUUAGAAGCAGCCAUCAUUUAAAGAAAGCGUAAUAGCUCACUGGUCGAGUCGGCCUGCGCGGAAGAUGUAACGGGGCUAAACUAUGCACCGAAGCUGCGGCAGCGAUAUGUAAAUAUUGUUGGGUAGGGGAGCGUUCUGUAAGCCUGUGAAGGUGUACUGUGAGGUAUGCUGGAGGUAUCAGAAGUGCGAAUGCUGACAUAAGUAACGAUAAUGCGGGUGAAAAACCCGCACGCCGGAAGACCAAGGGUUCCUGUCCAACGUUAAUCGGGGCAGGGUGAGUCGACCCCUAAGGCGAGGCAGAAAUGCGUAGUCGAUGGGAAACGGGUUAAUAUUCCCGUACUGGUGAUAAUUGCGAUGGGGGGACGGAGAAGGCUAGGCUGGCCGGGCGACGGUUGUCCCGGUUUAAGGAUGUAGGCAGGUGAAUUAGGCAAAUCCGGUUCACUAUAUGCUGAGGUCUGAUGACGAGUCACUACGGUGGCGAAGUAGCUCAUGCCCCGCUUCCAGGAAAAGCCUCUAAGCUCUAGAUUAUCAUUAAUCGUACCCCAAACCGACACAGGUGGUCAGGUAGAGAAUACUCAGGCGCUUGAGAGAACUCGGGUGAAGGAACUAGGCAAAAUGGUGCCGUAACUUCGGGAGAAGGCACGCUGGCGCUAGGUGAAGUGGUUUACCCAUGGAGCUGAAGCCAGUCGCAGAUACCAGCUGGCUGCAACUGUUUAUUAAAAACACAGCACUGUGCAAACACGAAAGUGGACGUAUACGGUGUGACGCCUGCCCGGUGCUGGAAGGUUAAUUGAUGGGGUUAUCCGUAAGGAGAAGCUCUUGAUCGAAGCCCCAGUAAACGGCGGCCGUAACUAUAACGGUCCUAAGGUAGCGAAAUUCCUUGUCGGGUAAGUUCCGACCUGCACGAAUGGCGUAAUGAUGGCCAGGCUGUCUCCACCCGAGACUCAGUGAAAUUGAACUCGCUGUGAAGAUGCAGUGUACCCGCGGCAAGACGGAAAGACCCCGUGAACCUUUACUAUAGCUUGACACUGAACAUUGAGCCUUGAUGUGUAGGAUAGGUGGGAGGCUUUGAAGUGUGGACGCCAGUCUGCAUGGAGCCAACCUUGAAAUACCACCCUUUAAUGUUUGAUGUUCUAACGUUGCCCCGUUAUCCGGGGUGCGGACAGUGUCUGGUGGGUAGUUUGACUGGGGCGGUCUCCUCCCAAAGAGUAACGGAGGAGCACGAAGGUUGGCUAAGCAUGGUCGGACAUCAUGCGGUUAGUGCAAAGGCAUAAGCCAGCUUGACUGCGAGAGUGACGGCUCGAGCAGGUACGAAAGUAGGUCUUAGUGAUCCGGUGGUUCUGAAUGGAAGGGCCAUCGCUCAACGGAUAAAAGGUACUCCGGGGAUAACAGGCUGAUACCGCCCAAGAGUUCAUAUCGACGGCGGUGUUUGGCACCUCGAUGUCGGCUCAUCACAUCCUGGGGCUGAAGUAGGUCCCAAGGGUACGGCUGUUCGCCGUUUAAAGUGGUACGCGAGCUGGGUUUAGAACGUCGUGAGACAGUUCGGUCCCUAUCUGCCGUGGGCGUUGGAAGAUUGAAAGGGGCUGCUCCUAGUACGAGAGGACCGGAGUGGACGCACCACUGGUGUUCGGGUUGUCAUGCCAAUGGCAUUGCCCGGUAGCUAAGUGCGGAAGAGAUAACCGCUGAAAGCAUCUAAGCGGGAAACUUGCCUUGAGAUGAGUCUUCCCUGACCCUUUAAGGGUCCUAAAGGAACGUUUAAGACUAAGACGUUGAUAGGUUGGGUGUGUAAGCAUAGCGAUAUGUUGAGCUAACCAAUACUAAUGAACCGUGAGGCUUAACCUGACAACACCGAAGGUGUUUUAG
Molecule: ribosomal RNA, 2939 nt
Filed under: Providencia rettgeri
Lineage: Bacteria; Pseudomonadati; Pseudomonadota; Gammaproteobacteria; Enterobacterales; Morganellaceae
Description: bacterial LSU rRNA
Rfam family: Bacterial large subunit ribosomal RNA
Source: RNAcentral